GACGAACGCUGGCGGCGCUCCUAACACAUGCAAGUCGAACGAGCGAGAGAGAGCUUGCUUUCUCGAGCGAGUGGCGAACGGGUGAGUAACGCGUGAGGAACCUGCCUCAAAGAGGGGGACAACAGUUGGAAACGACUGCUAAUACCGCAUAAGCCCACAGCUCGGCAUCGAGCAGAGGGAAAAGGAGUGAUCCGCUUUGAGAUGGCCUCGCGUCCGAUUAGCUAGUUGGUGAGGUAACGGCCCACCAAGGCGACGAUCGGUAGCCGGACUGAGAGGUUGAACGGCCACAUUGGGACUGAGACACGGCCCAGACUCCUACGGGAGGCAGCAGUGGGGAAUAUUGCACAAUGGGGGAAACCCUGAUGCAGCGACGCCGCGUGGAGGAAGAAGGUCUUCGGAUUGUAAACUCCUGUUGUUGAGGAAGAUAAUGACGGUACUCAACAAGGAAGUGACGGCUAACUACGUGCCAGCAGCCGCGGUAAAACGUAGGUCACAAGCGUUGUCCGGAAUUACUGGGUGUAAAGGGAGCGCAGGCGGGAAAGCAAGUUGGAAGUGAAAUCCAUGGGCUCAACCCAUGAACUGCUUUCAAAACUGUUUUUCUUGAGUAGUGCAGAGGUAGGCGGAAUUCCCGGUGUAGCGGUGGAAUGCGUAGAUAUCGGGAGGAACACCAGUGGCGAAGGCGGCCUACUGGGCACCAACUGACGCUGAGGCUCGAAAGUGUGGGUAGCANACAGG
RNAcentral lists this ribosomal RNA (735 nucleotides) under uncultured bacterium. Its description in RNAcentral is "bacterial SSU rRNA". It matches the Rfam family "Bacterial small subunit ribosomal RNA", at positions 28 to 776 of the family's 1533-position model. The record is from RNAcentral.